RNAcentral lists this unclassified non-coding RNA (256 nucleotides) under Hevea brasiliensis (rubber tree). The record is from RNAcentral. Lineage: Eukaryota; Viridiplantae; Streptophyta; Magnoliopsida; Malpighiales; Euphorbiaceae.
GUCGCAUGUUAAAAAUUUUCAUAUAAAUUUCAUGAGUCAUUGGUUUGAUUAUUCAAACAGCUGAAUGUCCCGUAUCUCAGAAAGCAUAUCCAAAAUAUAUUUUAGCCAAAGGGAAGAGACAUACACUCUUACAAAACUAAUUAUACUUCAAGUCACCCAAAUUCAUGGAAUCAUCCCAUCUGAGCAUGUUGCUUGGUGGAGGAAGAUGAAUCCAUCUCCUGGCUAUGUUGGUUUGUGUCCACAUUAUGUGAAUUUG